Molecule: non-coding RNA, 72 nt
Organism: Ramularia collo-cygni
Lineage: Eukaryota; Fungi; Ascomycota; Dothideomycetes; Mycosphaerellales; Mycosphaerellaceae
Source: the annotation of a RefSeq genome assembly
GCCGUUGUAGUAUAGUGGUUAGUACUUUCGCUUGUGGCGCGAACAUCCCCUGUUCGAAUCAGGGCAACGGCA